This 497-nucleotide ribosomal RNA is filed under the name uncultured bacterium. Its description in RNAcentral is "partial 16S ribosomal RNA". It matches the Rfam family "Bacterial small subunit ribosomal RNA", at positions 28 to 507 of the family's 1533-position model. The record is from RNAcentral.
GAUGAACGCUGGCGGCGUGCCUAAUACAUGCAAGUCGAGCGAACAGAUGAGGAGCUUGCUCCUCUGACGUUAGCGGCGGACGGGUGAGUAACACGUGGAUAACCUACCUAUAAGACUGGGAUAACUUCGGGAAACCGGAGCUAAUACCGGAUAAUAUAUUGAACCGCAUGGUUCAAUAGUGAAAGACGGUUUUGCUGUCACUUAUAGAUGGAUCCGCGCCGCAUUAGCUAGUUGGUAAGGUAACGGCUUACCAAGGCAACGAUGCGUAGCCGACCUGAGAGGGUGAUCGGCCACACUGGAACUGAGACACGGUCCAGACUCCUGCGGGAGGAAGCAGUAGGGAAUCUUCCGCAAUGGGCGAAAGCUUGACGGAGCAAAGCCGCGUGAGUGAUGAAGGUCUUCGGAUCGUAAAACUCUGUUAUUAGGGAAGAACAAAUGUGUAAGUAACUAUGCACGUCUUGACGGUACCUAAUCAGAAAGCCACGGCUAACUACGUG